GGCAUGUCAAAUUACUUAAGAAAACUUUGAAAUGGGCUUAAUUAGACUAUGAUUGUUUUCAUUGUUAAAGCAGGACCCGGGUUGGGGGGUUGGGUGGGGCUAGAUUUUAUUUAGGGGUCACUGUGAUGCUACAGAUCUCUGCUGAAUAUAGGGCGGUUCCAUUGUGCCAGUCAGGGGUGGGGGGCCCAUGGCACCAGGUGCUGGAGGCGUGAUAAAGGUGUGUGGACAGUGGUUUGAUGCCACGUCCGAGGUGACCUCUAAGGUGGUGGCUACAACUGAGUCCUAGACAUGACACCCAGACACUGCUCACCUUUUCCGCCCUCGUAGCUGUGUCGGCUU
This 339-nucleotide long non-coding RNA is filed under the name Bos taurus (domestic cattle). Its description in RNAcentral is "long non-coding RNA NONBTAT004799". The record is from RNAcentral. Lineage: Eukaryota; Metazoa; Chordata; Mammalia; Artiodactyla; Bovidae.